GGGGAUGUAGCUCAGUGGGAGAGAGUUUGUCUGGCAUGUACAAAAGCUCUUGGUUCUAUCCCCAGCAUUGCAA
Molecule: transfer RNA, 73 nt
Filed under: Marmota monax (woodchuck)
Lineage: Eukaryota; Metazoa; Chordata; Mammalia; Rodentia; Sciuridae
Description: tRNA.Ala
Source: RNAcentral